RNAcentral lists this ribosomal RNA (1327 nucleotides) under uncultured Alphaproteobacteria bacterium. Its description in RNAcentral is "bacterial SSU rRNA". It matches the Rfam family "Bacterial small subunit ribosomal RNA", at positions 27 to 1401 of the family's 1533-position model. Lineage: Bacteria; Pseudomonadati; Pseudomonadota; Alphaproteobacteria. The record is from RNAcentral.
GAACGUACGCUGGCGGCACGCCUAACACAUGCAAGUCGAACGAAGUAGCAAUACUUAGUGGCAGACGGGUGAGUAACAUGUGGGUAUCUGCCCUUUGGCCUGGAAUAACACGAGGAAACUUGUGCUAAUACCGGAUAAGUCUUUACGGAGAAAGCUUUAUGCACCAUUGGAUGAGCCCGCACUUGAUUAGUUUGUUGGUAGGGUAAUGGCCUACCAAGACUAUGAUCAAUAGCUGAUUUGAGAGGAUGAUCAGCCACAUUGGGACUGAGACACGGCCCAAACUCCUACGGGAGGCAGCAGUGGGGAAUCUUGCACAAUGGAGGAAACUCUGAUGCAGCGAUGCCGCGUGAGUGAAGAAGGCCCUUGGGUUGUAAAGCUCUUUCGUCGGGGAAGAAAAUGACUGUACCCGAAUAAGAAGGUCCGGCUAACUUCGUGCCAGCAGCCGCGGUAAUACGAAGGGACCUAGCGUAGUUCGGAAUUACUGGGCUUAAAGAGUUCGUAGGUGGUUGAAAAAGUUAGUGGUGAAAUCCCAGAGCUUAACUCUGGAACUGCCAUUAAAACUUUUCAGCUAGAGUAUGAUAGAGGAAAGCAGAAUUUCUAGUGUAGAGGUGAAAUUCGUAGAUAUUAGAAAGAAUACCAAUUGCGAAGGCAGCUUUCUGGAUCAUUACUGACACUGAGGAACGAAAGCAUGGGUAGCGAAGAGGAUUAGAUACCCUCGUAGUCCAUGCCGUAAACGAUGUGUGUUAGACGUUGGAAAUUUAUUUUCAGUGUCGCAGGGAAACCGAUAAACACACCGCCUGGGGAGUACGACCGCAAGGUUAAAACUCAAAUGAAUUGACGGGGACCCGCACAAGUAGUGGAGCAUGUGGUUUAAUUCGAAGAUACGCGCAGAACCUUACCAACACUUGACAUGUUCGUCGCGACUCUAAGAGAUUAGAGUUUUCGGUUCGGCCGGACGAAACACAGGUGCUGCAUGGCUGUCGUCAGCUCGUGUCGUGAGAUGUUGGGUUAAGUCCCGCAACGAGCGCAACCCUCACUUUUAGUUGCCAUCAUUAAGUUGGGCACUCUGAAAGAACUGCCAGUGAUAAGCUGGAGGAAGGUGGGGAUGACGUCAAGUCCUCAUGGCCCUUACGUGUUGGGCUACACACGUGCUACAAUGGUAUUUACAACAGGAAGCAAGACUGCGAAGUUAAGCAAAUCCCUAAAAGAUACCUCAGUUCGGAUUGCACUCUGCAACUCGAGUGCAUGAAGCUGGAAUUACUAGUAAUCGUGGAUCAGCGUGCCACGGUGAAUGCGUUCCCGGGUCUUGUACUCACCGCCCGUCAAG